CCUACGGGGGGCUGCAGUGGGGAAUAUUGGACAAUGGGCGAAAGCCUGAUCCAGCCAUGCCGCGUGUGUGAAGAAGGCCUUCGGGUUGUAAAGCACUUUCAGUGGGGAAGAAAGCCUUGGGGCUAAUACCCUCGAGGAAGGACAUCACCCACAGAAGAAGCACCGGCUAACUCCGUGCCAGCAGCCGCGGUAAUACGGAGGGUGCGAGUGUUAAUCGGAAUUACUGGGCGUAAAGCGCGCGUAGGCGGUCUGAUAAGCCGGUUGUGAAAGCCCCGGGCUCAACCUGGGAACGGCAUCCGGAACUGUCAGGCUAGAGUGCAGGAGAGGAAGGUAGAAUUCCCGGUGUAGCGGUGAAAUGCGUAGAGAUCGGGAGGAAUACCAGUGGCGAAGGCGGCCUUCUGGACUGACACUGACGCUGAGGUGCGAAAGCGUGGGUAGCAAACAGGAUUAGAUACCCGGGUAGUC
This 465-nucleotide ribosomal RNA is filed under the name Vreelandella stevensii. RNAcentral describes it as "partial 16S ribosomal RNA". It matches the Rfam family "Bacterial small subunit ribosomal RNA", at positions 338 to 795 of the family's 1533-position model. The record is from RNAcentral. Lineage: Bacteria; Pseudomonadati; Pseudomonadota; Gammaproteobacteria; Oceanospirillales; Halomonadaceae.